This 468-nucleotide ribosomal RNA is filed under the name uncultured bacterium. Its description in RNAcentral is "partial 16S ribosomal RNA". It matches the Rfam family "Bacterial small subunit ribosomal RNA", at positions 28 to 507 of the family's 1533-position model. The record is from RNAcentral.
GACGAACGCUGGCGGCGUGCUUAACACAUGCAAGUCGAACGGAAAGGCCAUGCUUUUGUGGGGUGCUCGAGUGGCGCACGGGUGAGUAAAACGUGAGUAAACUGUCCUUGACUUUGGGAUAACUUCAGGAAACAGGGGCUAAUACCGGAUAGGAGCUCCUGCUGCGUGGGGGGGGUUGGAGAGUUUCGGCGGUUGGGGCUGGUCUCGCGGGUUAUCAGCUUGUUGGUGGGGUUGUGGCUUUCACAGGCUUUGACGGGUAGCCGGCCUGAGAGGGUGACCGGCGACCUUGGGCCUGAGGUACGGCCCAGACUCCAACGUGCCGCAGUAGUGGAGAACAUUGCACAACGGGCGGAAGCCAGUUGCGGCAACGCCGCGUGCGUGAUAAUGUCUUUCGGGUUGUAAACCGCUUUCGCCUUUGACGAACCCGUAUUGACGGUAACUGGUAAGGAAGCACCGGCUAACUACGUG